RNAcentral lists this ribosomal RNA (658 nucleotides) under uncultured Thermoplasmata archaeon. RNAcentral's name for it is "bacterial SSU rRNA". It matches the Rfam family "Archaeal small subunit ribosomal RNA", at positions 111 to 768 of the family's 1478-position model. The record is from RNAcentral. Lineage: Archaea; Methanobacteriati; Thermoplasmatota; Thermoplasmata.
GCCCUUAAGUGGGAGGGAUAAUCUCGGGAAAUUGAGGAUAAUACUCCAUAGAUCAUGACACCUGGAAUGAGUCAUGGUUCAAAGUUCCGGCGCUUAAGGGUCGGUCUGCGGCCUAUCAGGUAGUAGUGGGUGUAAUGUACCUACUAGCCUAUGACGGGUAUGGGCCUUGAGAGAGGGAGCCCAGAGUUGGAUUCUGAGACACGMAUCCAGGCCCUACGGGGCGCAGCAGUCGCGAAAACUUCACAAUGGGCGCAAGCCCGAUGAGGGAACUCCUAGUGCUAGCACUUUUUGUGUUAGCUUUUCUUCAGCGUAGAUAACUGAAGRAAWAAGGGCUGGGUAAGACGGGUGCCAGCCGCCGCGGUAAUACCUGCAGCCCAAGUGGUGGUCGAUUUUAUUGAGUCUAAAACGUUCGUAGCCGGUCUGGUAAAUCCUUGGGUAAAUCGGAAAGCUUAACUUUCCGAAUUCCGAGGAGACUGCCAGACUUGGGMCCGGGAGAGGCUAGAGGUACUUCUGGGGUAGGGGUAAAAUCCUGUAAUCCUAGAAGGACCACCGGUGGCGAAGGCGUCUAGCUAGAACGGAUCCGACGGUGAGGGACGAAGCCCUGGGUCGCGAMCGGGAUUAAAUACCCCGGUAGUCCAGGGUGUAAACGCUGCAGACU